This is a long non-coding RNA of Plutella xylostella (diamondback moth), 1409 nucleotides long. RefSeq lists it as uncharacterized. The record is from RefSeq and is a predicted model, not a curated record. NCBI's taxonomy places the organism in Eukaryota, Metazoa, Arthropoda, Insecta, Lepidoptera, Plutellidae.
UUGUAUGAUGAAUAUGAUGAUGAUAAAGAAAACGAUGAUUUAAAUAUGAAGAUAUAAUUGGAAUAAUCAUAAAAUGAGAAUAUGCAUAUAAAAAUCUACAUAAUGAGAAUGGCUGAGGGUCAGCAUUGAUCUAUUAAAUCAAGAUCGUUAAAACACUUUAAUAUAAUUACAAAGAAAAGGCCGAUUUAAUAUUGAGACACAAGAAUAUAAGACAUAAAAUGAAAGGAUUGGAAUACCUACAUUAUGAGAACAUGGAAAGAAACUUACAUUUUAUAUACAUAUAUUAUGAGAAUGGCUGUCUGAACAGUAUUGUCCUAAUAAAUCAAAAUGUUUAACACACUGUUGUUAUUAUAAUAAAUGAUGAUUUAAAUAUAAAAAUACAAGAAUAUUAUAUAUAAAAUAGAAGAAUUGGAAUAUAUUUUGAUACUAAGAUACCUGCAUUAUAAAUAUAUUAUGAGAAUGGAUGACCGAACAGUAUUGUUCCGAUAAAUGAAGUUGAAUGGUAUGCUGAAGUGCAAGCGGUGCUCACACAAGGAUGUGAUUGGUAUGCCGAAGCACAAGCGGUACUCACUGAAUGAUAAUACACACACUUUAAUAUUGUUAUAAUAAAAGGUGAAUGGUAUGCCGAAGUGCAAGCGGUGCUCACACAGGGUUGUGAAUGGUAUGCCGAAGCACAAGCGGUGCUCACCUAAUGAUAAUUAGUAUAUAGUGGCUGGUAUGCCGAAGUGCAAGCGGUGCUCACACUGGGUUGUGAAUGGUAUGCCGAAGCACAAGCGGUACCCACUAUACUAUUUAUCUGAUAAAGAAUUCUGAGGAACAAUGAACAUACAGUGUAGCCGACCAAAAAUUCACCUAGCAACGUUGCAGCGUAGCAGACCAGCGUCAGACCAGCAUUAAGUACAUCAAUAAGAACAGCCGGAAUAUGGUUUACUAAUUACUUAUAGUCUCUUUGAGUUUUAUUUUAAUUAUGAUUGCUAAGUGCAUUUAAUAUCACCGCAUAGAUAUAAUAACUUUAUUAAUUUUGCUAAUUCAUUCAGUUUGUUAACAUAAAUUUAGAACUUGUUAGUUAGCGUUCGAAUGGCCGACAGGGAAUGGGGACAUUCCCAAUAACAGGACGGCCGACUGUUAGCGUUUAAAUUUACCAAUGCUAUUCUUUACUAAUAUCAAGCUACUUAUUUCAUCAUAGGUCCGGCCGGAUUACUAGAUGUAGCUAGGAGUUGUUCUUUAGUUCAUUUAGUUUCUAUAUUGUCUGUGAUUCGCAUUGACUGGCCGGUCACUGGAUUCAUGCGGAUUCAUUCAAUUCAAGAUGGCAGAAAAAAACAAGGAUAACUUUUAAAAGACUUCUGUUUGUUAUUAGAUUCCUUUUUGAAUAGUUUGUGUUCCUUAUAAAAGUAUUUUACUUCAAACUU